MicroRNA precursor from Aotus nancymaae (Ma's night monkey), 89 nucleotides. The record is from Ensembl. Lineage: Eukaryota; Metazoa; Chordata; Mammalia; Primates; Aotidae.
GUAUUAGGUUGGCACAAAAGUGAUUGCAGUUUUUGCCACUACUUUUAAUGGCAAAAACUGCAAUCACUUUUGCGCCAACCUAAUAGAUU